UACGGAGGGUGCAGGCGUUAAUCGGAAUUACUGGGCGUCAAGCGCACGCAGGCGGUCUGUUAAGUCAGAUGUGAAAUCCCCGGGCUUAACCUGGGAACUGCAUUUGAAACUGGCAGGCUUGAGUCUCGUAGAGGGGGGUAGAAUUCCAGGUGUAGCGGUGAAAUGCGUAGAGAUCUGGAGGAAUACCGGUGGCGAAGGCGGCCCCCUGGACGAAGACUGACGCUCAGGUGCGAAAGCGUGGGGAGCAAACA
RNAcentral lists this ribosomal RNA (251 nucleotides) under uncultured Pantoea sp. RNAcentral's name for it is "partial 16S ribosomal RNA". It matches the Rfam family "Bacterial small subunit ribosomal RNA", at positions 524 to 774 of the family's 1533-position model. Lineage: Bacteria; Pseudomonadati; Pseudomonadota; Gammaproteobacteria; Enterobacterales; Erwiniaceae. The record is from RNAcentral.